UAACUCCGGGAAACCGGGGCUAAUACCGGAUAUGAAACCUGCGGGCAUCCGCGGGUUUGGAAAGUUUUUCGGUUGAAGAUGAUCUCGCGGCCUAUCAGCUUGUUGGUGAGGUAAUGGCUCACCAAGGCGACGACGGGUAGCCGGCCUGAGAGGGCGACCGGCCACACUGGGACUGAAACACGGCCCAGACUCCUACGGGAGGCAGCAGUGGGGAAUAUUGGGCAAUGGAGGAAACUCUGACCCAGCGACGCCGCGUGCGGGAUGAAGGCCUUCGGGUUGUAAACCGCUUUCAGCAGGGAAGAAGCGAAAGUGACGGUACCUGCAGAAGAAGCACCGGCUAACUAUGUG
This 348-nucleotide ribosomal RNA is filed under the name uncultured bacterium. RNAcentral's name for it is "bacterial SSU rRNA". It matches the Rfam family "Bacterial small subunit ribosomal RNA", at positions 144 to 507 of the family's 1533-position model. The record is from RNAcentral.